UCCGGUUUAACACCGGCAGUCUCCCUAGAGUCCCCAACUGAAUGGUGGUAACUAAGGACAGGGGUUGCGCUCGUUGCAGGACUUAACCUAACAUCUUACGACACGAGCUGACGACAGCCAUGCAGCACCUAUCACCUUGUCCCCGAAGGGAAGACCACAUCUCUGUGGCUGUCAAGGGAUGUUAAACCCAGGUAAGGUUCUGCGCGUUGCUUCGAAUUAAACCACAUACUCCACCGCUUGUGCGGGCCCCCGUCAAUUCCUUUGAGUUUUAGCCUUGCGACCGUACUCCCCAGGCGGGAUACUUAAUGCGUGAGCUUUGGUACCCAGAAGGUUAGACAUCCGGACACCUAGUAUCCAUAGUUUACAGCGUGGACUAC
RNAcentral lists this unclassified non-coding RNA (377 nucleotides) under uncultured Oligoflexaceae bacterium. Its description in RNAcentral is "contains 16S-23S intergenic spacer region". The record is from RNAcentral. Lineage: Bacteria; Pseudomonadati; Bdellovibrionota; Oligoflexia; Oligoflexales; Oligoflexaceae.